GUUGGUUGACUGGUUACAGGUCCUGGCCGCAGGUAAUGAUGCCGGGACCUGCAUGGCCAGGGCCAGAGGGGAGAGGUCCCGGGAAGGCCGGGUCACAGCCGGUAGGGCUGCCUGAGAAGGAGCGUCCUUGACAGAGGCCAAGCCAGAGGACCCCAGUGCUAGGGAGCCGAGAGCAAUGCCCAGCAAGUCUGGUGGAAGCAGAUAAGUGUGGGCGGGGCCGAGCAGAGGGAAGGCCCAAGGGAGGGGUCACACCCACACCCGGAGCAGAUGGAGACAGAGCAGAAGGAGGCCAUGGCAGAAGCCACAUUUCCCGGCAUGUUUACUUCGCUAUAUUCAAAUGUGAGCAGACCAGCGAAAUCCUGACUCCGCCUGCCUGACUCAAGCACCUCACUCCGGCCGAAUCACCCAGGAGCACUGGCAACCGCUGGAGCCCCAGGCCUCCUGCAGGACGGAGCCUCAGCCAGCCUCAGGUGGGCUGCAGGGGAUUCGAAUGCCAGCCGGGGGUGAGGCCCUCGGCUGUAACAUUGGAGUCUGCUGUGGAGAGGAUGCUAACCAGGCACACCAUUUCCACCCUCAACACGGUGGCGAGCACACCUGCAGCCUGGCUCCUCCUUCAUUGGCAGGCUUGGGGGACCUGAGCUGCUGCUCAUCUGACAAGCUCCCCAGUGAUGCAGCGACGCUGGUUCCCGGGCCACAUGGGGGUGGCCAGGCUUUAGGAGCAAUAAAUUUGCCUAUUUGGACUUUUCAUAUAAAUGAAACCCUACUGGGG
Molecule: long non-coding RNA, 769 nt
Organism: Molossus molossus (Pallas's mastiff bat)
Lineage: Eukaryota; Metazoa; Chordata; Mammalia; Chiroptera; Molossidae
Exons: 3
Source: RefSeq, a predicted model, not a curated record